Long non-coding RNA from Malurus melanocephalus (red-backed fairy wren), 1910 nucleotides. RefSeq lists it as uncharacterized. The transcript is spliced from 3 exons. The record is from RefSeq and is a predicted model, not a curated record. NCBI's taxonomy places the organism in Eukaryota, Metazoa, Chordata, Aves, Passeriformes, Maluridae.
UUCCAUAACUCCUGCUUCAAUUGGCACAGGUAGAAAACUCUGCAGGAAUCACAAAGAUAAUGAAAUACAGAGGAUCAUCACGAAAUAGUGACUGAGCUAUGUUCAGGCUUAUUGAUUGCAACAGAGCAGUGGUGGAAGACAAUGCUGGUGUGCAGUSAGAAAGCAGCCUUGUGCAGAAAGCCAGCUCCACAGUGGAGAUUGCCAAAGAACAAAUUGCUGUCACAGAAUACCCCUACCGUGUCCCAUAAACCAAACAGCACCUGUUCCAUUUUCCAGGGGAUUGGGAGCAGAUGAUCUUCAAGGUCCUUUUCAAGAAAAGCCAUUCUAUGAAUCUAUAUUUUACAGCAGUAAAAUUGAAGAUGCAGACUGAAGUUGAGAAUAAGCAGAGUAAUAGUAACCCAACUCAUUAUAUUUUCUUUUUCAUAAUAGAAUUCAAAGUGAUACCUCUUAAGAUUAAACUUUCCUGAUAUCUGGAGGCAUUUGCUUUGCAUAAGCUGUUUUUUGUAGGGAACUAAAAAUCUAAUUUUCAGUCUUUUUUCAGAAGACAACUUUAUUUACAGUCCAAAUUGCAUCCUUGAUUGAUAGAAUUUCUUGAAAAAUAUGCUAUUUUCAUACAUCUAUACUUACUGGAAAUAUUCUAGAGCUGAAAAAAAUUACCAUUUUUCAAAAGAAGAGAGACAAAUUAGGAUAGGGUAAGUAAUUUUUCAGCCAUCUGUCUUCUCAAAACACACUACCAGCAUUCAUGCCUUGAGUUGAACCUCACAGCAUCAUAUCUUCUAAAGGGGGAAAAUAAGAAAGCAUGGACAAAAUGGGUAGCAACAUUUGGGAAGUGAGUGUUGUCUUAUUCUGAAUCUAUAUGUUACUAUAAGUAUAAAUAAUUUAGGUUUCCUCUGAAGACCUGCUAAAGUGCAAACUCCUUUGGCACUGCCUUGUUGCUUUUAUGGCUCCAGGGUAAGUCUUGUGGAAAAUGCAGCAUAUAUAGCAGAAUCAGACAACUUCAUAAUGUUAGCAGGACAUUUGGACAUCAGUAUGACUUUUGAGCUGAAUCUAAUAAUUUUUUUCUAUGAACCAUCUGCUUCUAUGAAUUUUCACUGACUGUAAUUAAAGUUGGCAUUUGCAUGUAGAAAAUUCUAUCAGACUUACAGUGAAAUAGACUUAAAGACUUUCUGAUGAMGUCUGUAGGAUUUACUAGUGAUUUUUUUUUAUUUCUACUGACUUUGUGAACUAUCUUGAGGAAUGGCAUUUUUGUGAUACAGAAUUUGUGAAUAGCUUAAUACAAGGGAAUAAAAAUGUAAAGUAUUCUAAAGGUUUUUUGGGUAUUUCUUUUAGCAUCAGAGACAGAAUCUUCCUAAGACCUGAGUUAGAGUGGAGGCAAUUCGAGAUAAACCACUCUUGAAUUGCAGCAUCUUAUGGAAAUGUUAGGAAAAUUUGUUUCUUCUUAACACAUUUUGGAGAUCUCAAAAAAUUCCUUCUUUUUCUAAUUUUCCUCAUCUGGCCUCUUGUCCUCAGACUCCCUCCUUUCCUGUCAUGUWAUUGAGAGAGAUUCAAGUGUUUAAUGGCAGCUAUUGAUGUGACUUAGGAGAGGCUUGGAGCAAGGUGGAGGUACUGAGGGUGCUGCCAGCCUUCCUGGGGCAUGGAUUUAAGAGCCAGUGGUACCCUGUGCACCAUUAGAAGUACUGGCACUUGUCUUUAUGGAAGAGCACUYAGCAAUUUAAUGUGUUCUCUAUAGAGUCUGGAAAGUACACUAGUCAGACAUUAUUUUCCCUUUGUCUGCCUGGGUUGGGCUUUUCCCUCCCUUUGGGGUCCAGGAAAAAGAAAAAAGAGCCUGCAGAAAACCCUAAAUCCUUCUGUUGCAUCUUUUCGUAGCAUUCAUGACUUCUUGCUGUUGUAUUUAAGUUUUAAUGCGCUUA